Molecule: small nuclear RNA, 103 nt
Filed under: Neogale vison (American mink)
Lineage: Eukaryota; Metazoa; Chordata; Mammalia; Carnivora; Mustelidae
Source: RNAcentral
UCAGUUUCUGUGACUGGCUUCCAACUUGGAACCAUACAGAGAAGACACACGUGGCCCCUGGGUUAUGGGCGACAUCCAAAGCUGUGACGCAUUCCAUAUUUAA